Molecule: microRNA, 22 nt
Filed under: Rattus norvegicus (Norway rat)
Lineage: Eukaryota; Metazoa; Chordata; Mammalia; Rodentia; Muridae
Description: Rno-Mir-430-P7b_5p (mature (co-guide))
Source: RNAcentral
CAUCAAAGUGGAGGCCCUCUCC